GAUGAACGCUGGCGGCGUGCCUAAUACAUGCAAGUCGAGCGAACGGACGAGAAGCUUGCUUCUCUGAUGUUAGCGGCGGACGGGUGAGUAACACGUGGAUAACCUACCUAUAAUACUGGGAUAACUUCGGGAAACCGGAGCUAAUACCGGAUAAUAUUUUGAACAGCAUGGUUAAAAUGUGAAAGACGGUCUUGCUGUCACUUAUAGAUGGAUCCGCGCUGCAUUAGCUAGUUGGUAAGGUAACGGCUUACCAAGGCGACGAUGCAUAGCCGACCUGAGAGGGUGAUCGGCCACACUGGAACUGAGACACGGUCCAGACUCCUACGGGAGGCAGCAGUAGGGAAUCUUCCGCAAUGGGCGAAAGCCUGACGCAGCAACGCCGCGUGAGUGAUGAAGGUCUUCGGAUCGUAAAACUCUGUUAUUAGGGAAGAACAUAUGUGUAAGUAACUGUUCACAUCUUGACGGUACCUAAUCAGAAAGCCACGGCUAACUACGUG
This 497-nucleotide ribosomal RNA is filed under the name uncultured bacterium. RNAcentral describes it as "partial 16S ribosomal RNA". It matches the Rfam family "Bacterial small subunit ribosomal RNA", at positions 28 to 507 of the family's 1533-position model. The record is from RNAcentral.